RNAcentral lists this ribosomal RNA (1425 nucleotides) under Bacillus subtilis. RNAcentral describes it as "bacterial SSU rRNA". It matches the Rfam family "Bacterial small subunit ribosomal RNA". The record is from RNAcentral. Lineage: Bacteria; Bacillati; Bacillota; Bacilli; Caryophanales; Bacillaceae.
ACAUGCAAGUCGAGCGGACAGAUGGGAGCUUGCUCCCUGAUGUUAGCGGCGGACGGGUGAGUAACACGUGGGUAACCUGCCUGUAAGACUGGGAUAACUCCGGGAAACCGGGGCUAAUACCGGAUGGUUGUUUGAACCGCAUGGUUCAAACAUAAAAGGUGGCUUCGGCUACCACUUACAGAUGGACCCGCGGCGCAUUAGCUAGUUGGUGAGGUAACGGCUCACCAAGGCAACGAUGCGUAGCCGACCUGAGAGGGUGAUCGGCCACACUGGGACUGAGACACGGCCCAGACUCCUACGGGAGGCAGCAGUAGGGAAUCUUCCGCCAAUGGACGAAAGUCUGACGGAGCAACGCCGCGUGAGUGAUGAAGGUUUUCGGAUCGUAAAGCUCUGUUGUUAGGGAAGAACAAGUACCGUUCGAAUAGGGCGGUACCUUGACGGUACCUAACCAGAAAGCCACGGCUAACUACGUGCCAGCAGCCGCGGUAAUACGUAGGUGGCAAGCGUUGUCCGGAAUUAUUGGGCGUAAAGGGCUCGCAGGCGGUUUCUUAAGUCUGAUGUGAAAGCCCCCGGCUCAACCGGGGAGGGUCAUUGGAAACUGGGGAACUUGAGUGCAGAAGAGGAGAGUGGAAUUCCACGUGUAGCGGUGAAAUGCGUAGAGAUGUGGAGGAACACCAGUGGCGAAGGCGACUCUCUGGUCUGUAACUGACGCUGAGGAGCGAAAGCGUGGGGAGCGAACAGGAUUAGAUACCCUGGUAGUCCACGCCGUAAACGAUGAGUGCUAAGUGUUAGGGGGUUUCCGCCCCUUAGUGCUGCAGCUAACGCAUUAAGCACUCCGCCUGGGGAGUACGGUCGCAAGACUGAAACUCAAAGGAAUUGACGGGGGCCCGCACAAGCGGUGGAGCAUGUGGUUUAAUUUCGAAGCAACGCGAAGAACCUUACCAGGUCUUGACAUCCUCUGACAAUCCUAGAGAUAGGACGUCCCCUUCGGGGGCAGAGUGACAGGUGGUGCAUGGUUGUCGUCAGCUCGUGUCGUGAGAUGUUGGGUUAAGUCCCGCAACGAGCGCAACCCUUGAUCUUAGUUGCCAGCAUUCAGUUGGGCACUCUAAGGUGACUGCCGGUGACAAACCGGAGGAAGGUGGGGAUGACGUCAAAUCAUCAUGCCCCUUAUGACCUGGGCUACACACGUGCUACAAUGGACAGAACAAAGGGCAGCGAAACCGCGAGGUUAAGCCAAUCCCACAAAUCUGUUCUCAGUUCGGAUCGCAGUCUGCAACUCGACUGCGUGAAGCUGGAAUCGCUAGUAAUCGCGGAUCAGCAUGCCGCGGUGAAUACGUUCCCGGGCCUUGUACACACCGCCCGUCACACCACGAGAGUUUGUAACACCCGAAGUCGGUGAGGUAACCUUUAGGAGCCAGCCGCCGA